Molecule: ribosomal RNA, 255 nt
Filed under: uncultured bacterium
Lineage: Bacteria
Description: partial 16S ribosomal RNA
Rfam family: Bacterial small subunit ribosomal RNA
Source: RNAcentral
UACAGAGGGUGCGAGCGUUGUCCGGAAUCACUGGGCGUAAAGGGCGCGUAGGCGGUCUCUUAAGCGUGUGGUGAAAGCCCGGGGCUCAACUCCGGAUCUGCGGUGGGUACGGGCAGACUAGAGUGCAGUAGGGGAGACUGGAAUUCCUGGUGUAGCGGUGGAAUGCGCAGAUAUCAGGAGGAACACCGGUGGCGAAGGCGGUUCUCUGGGCAUUACCUGACGCUGGAGGAAGCGAAAGCAUGGGGAGCGAACAGG